AUGCAAGGUUGUAAUCUUUUCCUUCCUUUUGUGCGAGGCUAUAGGAUUAUGAUCGGACAUAGGGAUGGAUUUGUAAUUAUGGAGGUUAACCAUGAAGGCUUUGUUGGUACGGACGGCAGAGAAAAUUCCACAUGUUAUGAUCAACAUGUGGAGAAAUUAAUUACUGUCCUUGUUGACCAAGUUCAGGCGGAUAUAGAAAAUCAUCGGCACAAGCAUUGGCUACCUUAUGUUCGGUUGUUUCUCCAGGAAGCCUACCAGCUGGCAACCAAGAUUUGUUUUAAGAAGUUGAUGGUACAAAUAGUUUCUCGGUAA
Molecule: ribosomal RNA, 312 nt
Filed under: Triticum aestivum (bread wheat)
Lineage: Eukaryota; Viridiplantae; Streptophyta; Magnoliopsida; Poales; Poaceae
Description: partial small subunit ribosomal RNA
Source: RNAcentral